This 397-nucleotide ribosomal RNA is filed under the name uncultured bacterium. Its description in RNAcentral is "bacterial SSU rRNA". It matches the Rfam family "Bacterial small subunit ribosomal RNA", at positions 115 to 499 of the family's 1533-position model. The record is from RNAcentral.
ACGUGGGUAACCUACCUAUAAGACUGGGAUAACUUCGGGAAACCGGAGCUAAUACCGGAUAACAUUUGGAACCGCAUGGUUCUAAAGUGAAAGAUGGUUUUGCUAUCACUUAUAGAUGGACCCGCGCCGUAUUAGCUAGUUGGUAAGGUAACGGCUUACCAAGGCAACGAUACGUAGCCGACCUGAGAGGGUGAUCGGCCACACUGGAACUGAGACACGGUCCAGACUCCUACGGGAGGCAGCAGUAGGGAAUCUUCCGCAAUGGGCGGAAGCCUGACGGAGCAACGCCGCGUGAGUGAUGAAGGGUUUCGGCUCGUAAAACUCUGUUAUUAGGGAAGAACAAAUGUGUAAGUAACUGUGCACGUCUUGACGGUACCUAAUCAGAAAGCCACGGCUA